Molecule: ribosomal RNA, 253 nt
Filed under: uncultured bacterium
Lineage: Bacteria
Description: partial 16S ribosomal RNA
Rfam family: Bacterial small subunit ribosomal RNA
Source: RNAcentral
UACAUAGGGGGCAAGCGUUAUCCGGAAUUAUUGGGUGUAAAGGGUGCGUAGACGGAGAAACAAGUUGGUUGUGAAAUCCCUCGGCUCAACCGAGGAACUGCAACCAAAACUAUUUCCCUUGAGUGUCGGAGAGGAAAGUGGAAUUCCUUGUGUAGCGGUGAAAUGCGUAGAUAUUAGGAGGAACACCAGUGGCGAAGGCGACUUUCUGGACGAUAACUGACGUUGAGGCACGAAAGUGUGGGGAGCAAACAGG